AGCACUUGGCUCAGCCGGCAGGCAUGGUGCUGGAAACACCAGGCUAGCUAGGCGCAGGUUCGAAACCUGCGGUGCUG
Molecule: non-coding RNA, 77 nt
Organism: Wilcoxina mikolae CBS 423.85
Lineage: Eukaryota; Fungi; Ascomycota; Pezizomycetes; Pezizales; Pyronemataceae
Source: the annotation of a GenBank genome assembly